Non-coding RNA from Podarcis lilfordi (Lilford's wall lizard), 77 nucleotides. The record is from the annotation of a GenBank genome assembly. Lineage: Eukaryota; Metazoa; Chordata; Lepidosauria; Squamata; Lacertidae.
GGAGGGCUCUAGCACAGUGGUAGAGCAACUGCCUUGCCCGCAGAAGGUCCCAGGUUCAAUGGCCCAUGGCAUCUCCA